AAAUAUUCAGUUCAUGUAUACAUAUAAUGUGAUUAAAAAUGUAUUUUAUUUGGUAAUUUCAUGCACGUAUAUGUUAACUUUAUUUUUGUUACAAAACCCAUGUAAAUUGGAGAGGAACAUAUUUUGUUUCCGGUUUGGUCACAUUGUUGAGGGGACAAUUAAUAUGUGACGGAAUAAGGGAAGCAGCAUGAGACAGCAAACAUUUGAUGGAAGAGGUUAAUGGAGUCUCGCCUGGAAAAGAAACUUUAUUCCCUCUGAGUUUGUGAGGCCAAUGAGGUAUGAUUCUUUGUCAUAAUGCAUGUGAAAUCUAUGUGUUUUCUUUUAUUUGAUGUCAGACUAAUUGUAAGUUCUGUUUUUUUUAUUCAAUAGUUCUGACGGCAUUUGUUCGGCAUUUGUUUGGCAUUUUUGGCAUCAUUUGGGAGGAGAAGAAGGCGUGGCUGAAAUAAAUGUCUGUUUGAGAAAAACGAACAACUUGAGCCUUGAUUAAGACCUCGGUGGGAGUAACAUCAAAUAUUCCACUUUGAAAAAUAUUUUUGGUGGAGGAUUUUGCAUUUGCUGUGGGUUUGCGAUUAAAACCAUAGAUUUGUUUGACAAAAAAGGGCGGAAAACAAACAAACAAAAAAACAACAUAAAAAAACUAAAACAUUUUGAAAUGAGGGGAUGGAUGGAAUAGAAUAGAUUAGAAUAGACUUUAUUUUAAUUAUAUUUGGAUAUAACAAGAUUAAAGACUCCAACUUAAGGUGCGGUUGUGGGAACAAACAUGGGGUAAAAUAAAUAACACAAGAGGUCAUAAAGGAAAAACUAACAAUUGAAAUAGACGGACUACUAUCCAAUAAAAAUAACAAGCAAUCCUGUACAAUAUAUAAAACACUAUAGAAAUACAAAGUACUGUACGAUAUACAGAACAAGACAAGAGUACCGAAGUAAUAAAUAACAAUCAGUGUUGGACGUAUUGCACAGAAGGGUAUUAGGGCAGGAUAUUGUAUAGGGGGUAAUUAUUAUUAUUAUAAGUUAGAGUUCAACAUGGUGACAGUUCUGGGAAAAAAUCUGUCUCUGAGCCUGUUUGUUCUGGCUGUGAUGCACCUGGAGCGCCUGCCCGAUGGUAGCAGGUAGAAGCCAGGGUGUGUGCUGUCUUUGGUGAUGUUUUUUGCUUUUUUCAGGCAACGGGAGUUAUGUAAAUCCUUCAGGGAGGGCAGGGGGCAGCCAAUGAUUUUUGUGCCAACUUUAUUGCCCUCUGUAUCGCCUGUUUGUCUGCUUCAGUGCAGCUGGCGUACCACACUGUUAUGCAGUACGUCAGCAGGCUCUCGACAGCCGAGCGAUAGAAGGUCACCAUCAGCUGUCUCUCCAGUCUGUUCGUUGAUGUAGACUCCAGAGAUUUAAGCGUUAAACAUAAACUGUAUGUGUCACAGCCCGGUCUCGAACCCAUAAUCCAGCCACAGCAAGAGCCUACACUCUCUGUCUGGCAGCAUUCCAGGACAUGCCCCCGCACCCUCUGAGCACUUCCCGCCCACGCUUCGCCGUAGCUGUAGACUGACAGCAAUCAACCCACCUGACAGCAUAAAGGCCAGUCACUCCUUUGGACCUGCGCCGGAACGUCGUUAACUCUCGUAUUGCCUCCCUCGAUCCUCGAUCACUCGCCUGGACUCGGACCUUGUUUGCUUGCCGCCUGCUCUCGACCUCCUGCCUGUCACCAGAUCUUCCUUGUGCCUACUCCUUCUUGACCAGACGCAGGUUUUCAUUCAACACGCAUGUACAACAUCCUCUUGUUACAUUCACAUGGUUAACUUCACUCUUAAUCCUCCAACCAACACUUAGAGUAGCAUACACAUCCCACACAAUCAUCAAAGGUUACAAUAAACCUGGUAACCUCA
Long non-coding RNA from Nerophis ophidion (straightnose pipefish), 1871 nucleotides. RefSeq lists it as uncharacterized. Lineage: Eukaryota; Metazoa; Chordata; Actinopteri; Syngnathiformes; Syngnathidae. The record is from RefSeq and is a predicted model, not a curated record. The transcript is spliced from 2 exons.